UGGGGAAUUUUGGACAAUGGGGGCAACCCUGAUCCAGCAAUGCCGCGUGUGUGAAGAAGGCCUUCGGGUUGUAAAGCACUUUUGUCCGGGAAGAAAUCCCCUGCCCUAAUACGGCGGGGGGAUGACGGUACCGGAAGAAUAAGCACCGGCUAACUACGUGCCAGCAGCCGCGGUAAUACGUAGGGUGCGAGCGUUAAUCGGAAUUACUGGGCGUAAAGCGUGCGCAGGCGGUGAUGUAAGACCGAUGUGAAAUCCCCGGGCUCAACCUGGGAACUGCAUUGGUGACUGCAUUGCUCGAGUAUGGCAGAGGGGGGUGGAAUUCCACGUGUAGCAGUGAAAUGCGUAGAGAUGUGGAGGAAUACCGAUGGCGAAGGCAGCCCCCUGGGCCAAUACUGACGCUCAUGCACGAAAGCGUGGGGAGCAAACAGGAUUAGAUACCCUGGUAGUCCACGCCCUAAACGAUGUCAACUAGUUGUUGGGGAUUCAUUUCCUUAGUAACGUAGCUAACGCGUGAAGUUGACCGCCUGGGGAGUACGGUCGCAAGAUUAAAACUCAAAGGAAUUGAC
RNAcentral lists this ribosomal RNA (566 nucleotides) under uncultured bacterium. RNAcentral describes it as "partial 16S ribosomal RNA". It matches the Rfam family "Bacterial small subunit ribosomal RNA", at positions 355 to 914 of the family's 1533-position model. The record is from RNAcentral.